RNAcentral lists this long non-coding RNA (6870 nucleotides) under Triticum aestivum (bread wheat). Its description in RNAcentral is "long non-coding RNA (TAES_LNC009191)". The record is from RNAcentral. Lineage: Eukaryota; Viridiplantae; Streptophyta; Magnoliopsida; Poales; Poaceae.
CCUCCUCCCUGCCCUUUCCGCCUGACCGCCGAGCUCCGGUUCGCCUCCUAGCGCCGUCCUCAUGCAGCCAUCUGUUAGCCAAGCUUUGCGAGGUACGUGAUCUGAUACAUGGUGCUCAGCUUGAACACAUCAGACUGGAGCGUCUCAUCUGGUGGAUCCCAUGCAGAUGCAUCGAGAGAUGGACCUCGAGCUGCACGCGAUGGCGCCGGGCUAGCACAAGGCAGAGCACCUGGCCGUGGCCGGCGAGGAGGCGCGCAAGGUCGGCGCGUCGGUGCCCACUGGUUGCCAUCCCCAUCUCCCCUUCCUAGGUGCUCCCCUCCGCGUCUUAACUCUUACCCCGAGGUGCUACAGAAGAGACGCCCUACGGGGAGCUAACGUGGAGGAGCGGGCGGCCGCUCGAGGCACAACAUCCUGUUGCAGGCGAGGUGAGUCUCAAUGCUGAUGUUGGUCACCAACGAGGUCUUCGAUCGGAGCGGAAGUCCAGGCGAGGUGGAUUUCGCCGGCGAGGCCCUCUCCGUUCUUCCUCUUGUGUGCGUCUUGGGCAGGAGGCAGGAGGGCCAGCAGGGCCUGAAGUGCCUAGCCCUCCGGGCCACUGAGGCGAGGUGCCGAGGGCGCGCGGUGUUGGCGCAUAAGCCAUGUCCCCGCCGAGGUGACCGGUGUCGGGCGUGCCUGUCCGGUCCGUGGCCGCGUCGAGCCCAUGUUUAGGCAUAGUCUGACCUUGGUCUGGCCAUGGUCCGACUAGUGUAUGGCUUGUGUGCGUGCGUGUGUGGCGCGGGGUGUGUGUCUGUGUGCGCACCUGUUGCGUGGGUAGUUGGCGAUAGUGGCGGGGGUGACCGCGGCGUUCUGUUGGAGCCCGGCCGCGUUGAUCGCGUUGGUGCGCGACGGGUGCGUGAGCUAGGGCGUGCGGAGCGUGCGGGCGUGGAGGAGUGGGGAGCGCGGCGUCGUGUGGGCGCGCCCGUGUAUAAAGCUCCACCCCGCGUACUGUUGUUUGUGUGGGGCUCGAGUUCGUGCUCGAGGAAGACGCCGUUCGUGCGGCAGGCGUUCGUACGCCGGAACCACCGUGUCUUGUGUCUCCCUCCUUUCUUCUUCCUCUAAUCGUUCUAGCGAGAGUACAAAGAGAGAGAGAGAGUUCCGGUGAGAGGGAGGGCUAGGGCUAGACACCCAACACUUGGCAUCAGGCCUACAGGUUUGCGGCCGUGGCGCGCGGUGGCGUCCGCGGCGCGCGCGGCGAGCACGUCGGACAUGGAGGCUGUAGCGCGCGGCGAGCGCAUGGCGAGCGCGACGCGCGGCGACUCCACGGUGGUGCGGACUGAUGUCGUGCACGCGAAGAGCACGGCAGUCGUGGAGACGAGGAGGUCGCGGAGGAGCUGUGUGGUAGCGCAGAAGUCGCGGCGGCUCGGCGCGACAACCGUGGGGGCACGGAAACGUGGCGCGAGACGGCGCAUGGGACUGCGGGCUGCUUCAGCGGCAGUGGGCGUCGGCUCAUGCUGGAGGCGAAGAGGAGACGACGAUGACGACGAGUGAGGCGAUGUCAUGGCUUAGGGGGUGAUUGUUGGCGCAUAAGCCAUGUCCCCGCCGAGGUGACCGGUGUCGGGCGUGCCUGUCCGGUCCGUGGCCGCGUCCGCGUCGAGCCCAUGUUUAGGCAUAGUCUGACCUUGGUCUGGCCAUGGUCCGACUAGUGUAUGGCUUGUGUGCGUGCGUGUGUGUGGGGCGCGGGGUGUGUGUCUGUGUGCGCACCUGUUGCGUGGGUAGUUGGCGAUAGUGGCGGGGUGACCGCGGCGUUCUGCCGGCCGCGUUGAUCGCGUUGGUGCGCGUCGGGUGCGUGAGCUAGGGCGUGCGGAGCGUGCGGGCGUGGAGGAGUGGGGAGCGCGACGUCGUGUGGGCGCGCCCGUGUAUAAAGCUCCACCCCGCGUACUGUUGUUUGUGUGGGGCUCGAGUUCGUGCUCGAGGAAGACGCCGUUCGUGUGGCAGGCGUUCGUGCGCCGGAACCACCGUGUCUUGUGUCUCCCUCCUUUCUUCUUCCUCUGAUCGUUCUAGCGAGAGUACAGAGAGAGAGAGAGAGAGUUCCGGUGAGAGGGAGGGCUAGGGGUACCGUGGCGCGCGGUGGCGUCCGCGGCACGCGCGGCGAGCACGUCGGAUAUGGAGGCUGCAGCGCGCGGCGAGCGCGUGGCGAGCGCUACGCGCGGCGACUCCACGGUGGUGCGGACUGAUGUCGUGCACGCGAAGAGCACAGCAGUCGCGGAGACGAGGAGGUCGCGGAGGAGCUGUGUGGUGGCGCAGAAGUCGCGGCGGCUGGGCGCGACAACUGUGGGGGCACGGAAACAUGGCGCGACGGCGCACGGGACUGCGGGCUGCUGCAGCGGCAGUGGGCGUCGGCUCGUGCUGGAGGCGCAGAGGAGACGACGACGACGAGUCAGGUGAUGUCAUGGCUUAGGGGGUGAUUCUUGGCGCUUAAGCCAUGUCCCUGCCGAGGUGACCGGUGUCGGGCGUGCCAGUCCGGUCCGUGGCCGCGUCGAGCCAAUGUUUAGGCAUAGUCUGACCUUGGUCUGGCCAUGGUCCGACUAGUGUAUGGCUUGUGUGCGUGCGUGUGUGUGUGGCGCGGGGUGUGCGUCUGUGUGCGCACCUGUUGCGUGGGUAAUUGGCGAUAGUGGCGGGGGUGACCGCGGCGUUCUAUUGGAGCCCGGCCGCGUUGAUCGCGUUGGUGCGCGACGGGUGCGUGAGCUAGGGCGUGCGGAGCGUGCGGGCGUGGAGGAGUGGGGAGCGCGGCGUCGUGUGGGCGCGCCCGUGUAUAAAGCUCCACCCCGCGUACUGUUGUUUGUGUGGGGCUCGAGUUCGUGCUCGAGGAAGACGCCGUUCGUGCGGCAGGCGUUCGUGCGCCGGAACCACCGUGUCUUGUGUCUCCCUCCUUUCUUCUUCCUCUGAUCGUUCUAGCGAGAGUACAGAGAGAGAGAGAGAGAGUUCCGGUGAGAGAGAGGGCUAGGGCUACCGUGGCGUGCGGCGGCGUCCGCGGCACGCGCGGCGAGCACGUCGGACAUGGAGGCUGCAGCGCGUGGCGACCGCGACGCGCAGCGACUCCACGGUGGUGGGGACUGAUGUCGUGCACGCGAAGAGCACGGCAGUCGCGGAGACGAGGAGGUCGCGGAGGAGCUGUGUGGUGGCGCAGAAGUCGCGGCGGCUCGGCGCGACAACCGUGGGGGCACGGAAACAUGGCGCGACGGCGCACGGGACUGCGGGCUGCUGCAGCGGCAGUGGGCGUCGGCUCAUGCUGGAGGCGUAGAGGAGACGACGACAACGAGUCAGGCGAUGUCAUGGCUUAGGGGGUGAUUGUUGGCGCAUAAGCCAUGUCCCCGCCGAGGUGACCGGUGUCGGGCGUGCCAGUCAGGUCCGUGGCCGCGUCGAGCCCAUGUUUAGGCAUAGUCUGACCUUGGUCUGGCCAUGGUCUGACUAGUGUAUGGCUUGUGUGCGUGCGUGUGUGGCGCGGGGUGUGUGUCUGUGUGCGCACCUGUUGCGUGGGUAGUUGGCGAUAGUGGCGGGGGCAACCGCGGCGUUUUGUUGGAGCCCGGCCGCGUUGAUCGCGUUGGUGCGCGACGGGUGCGUGAGCUAGGGUGUGCGGAGCGUGCGGGCGUGGAGGAGUGGGGAGCGCGGCGUCGUGUGGGCGCGCCCGUGUAUAAAGCUCCACCCCGCGUACUGUUGUUUGUGUGGGGCUCGAGUUCGUGCUCGAGGAAGACGCCGUUCGUGCGGCAGGCGUUCGUGCGCCGGAACCACCGUGUCUUGUGUCUCCCUCCUUUCUUCUUCCUCUGAUCGUCCUAGCGAGAGUAGAGAGAGAGAGAGUUCCGGUGAGAGGGAGGGCUAGGGGUACCGUGGCGCGCGGUGGCAUCCGCGGCACGCGCGGCGAGCACGUCGGAUAUGGAGGCUGCAGCGCGCGGCGAGCGCGUGGCGACUCCACGGUGGUGCGGACUGAUGUCGUGCACGCGAAGAGCACGGCAGUCGCGGAGGAGUUGUGUGGUGGCGCAGAAGUCGCGGCGGCUCGGUGCGACAACCGUGGGGGCACGGAAACAUGGCGCGACGGCGCACGGGACUGCGGGCUGCUGCAGCGGCAGUGGGCGUCGGCUCGUGCUGGAGGCGCAGAGGAGACGAGGACGACGAGUCAGGUGAUGUCAUGGCUUAGGGGGUGAUUCUUGGCGCUUAAGCCAUGUCCCCGCCGAGGUGACCGGUGUCGGGCGUGCCAGUCCGGUCCGUGGCCGCGUCGAGCCCAUGUUUAGGCAUAGUCUGACCUUGGUCUGGCCAUGGUCCGACUAGUGUAUGGCUUGUGUGCGUGCGUGUGUGUGGCGCGGGGUGUGCGUCUGUGUGCGCACCUGUUGCGUGGGUAGUUGGCGAUAGUGGCGGGGGUGACCGCGGCGUUCUGUUGGAGCCCGGCCGCGUUGAUCGCGUUGGUGCGUGACGGGUGCGUGAGCUAGGGCGUGCGGAGCGUGCGGGCGUGCAGGAGUGGGGAGCGCGGCGUCGUGUGGGCGCGCCCGUGUAUAAAGCUCCACCCCACGUACUGUUGUUUGUGUGGGGCUCGAGUUCGUACUCGAGGAAGACGCCGUUCGUGCGGCAGGCGUUCAUGCGCCGGAACCAUCGUGUCUUGUGUCUCCCUCCUUUCUUCUUCCUCUGAUCGUUCUAGCGAGAGUAUAGAGAGAGAGGGGUUCCGGUGAGAGGGAGGGCCAGGGCUAGACACCCAACACGCGGUGCGGCUCGCACUGGGACUCGUGCUCCGCCGCCAUGGCGACGGCCAGCGCAGGACAUGCGCGACACUGGGAGGGGAGCCAAGUAUGAGGCUCUGGAGUGGCUCAUGCAGCGCGUCGCGCGCGGCGGUGCUGGUGGCUUGCAAUUGCAGGUUGACCAUGGGCGGUGGACCUCGGGCAGAGCUCACAUGUGGUUGCGGCGGUGCGCGGACAAGUGAAGCUCGCGGCGUGAUGGCGGCGCGUCGUGUGUGUGUGCGCGCGCUGUUUGCGCCCACUGUGCGUGUGUGGGACGGUCUGAUGACGCGACGAACGAUGUCGAGGCAGCAGGCCACUGGCGCUCGGUAUCGACGUAACGGAGCUCCUUUCCCUUACAGAUGCGGGCGCCGUCUCCUCUCAUGUCCCCUUCCCUCCUCUCUCUCGCCGCCGCCUGCGUGCGUGCACGUACAGCUUGCUCGCCGAUAGAGGGUGCGCCGCUGCUCUCCUUCUCUCUCCUUCUCUCUCUCUCUCUCUCUCUCUCUCUCCAAGGCGACCGUGUUCCCGAGCCGCCGCCCCCUACCCAAGCUCCCGCAGCGCUACAUGUUGCCGCACGCCGUAUCUCUUUCGCGGUUUGGCCUCGCUCUUGGCACCGCGCCGGUCUACGAUGGCCACCAUCUGCCGGACAGUAAGACCCGAUAUGGUGGUCGCCUCGACGACCGGUGGGCGCAAGCCAGCUGCGGCCCUUCGCCAUCCCCGAGCCAGCCGCGGCCCUUCGCCUACGGCAUGCUCGGCGCGCAUCUCCCGACCGGCGUGCGCACAUAGCCUCAUCUGCUAGGGAUAUGCGUCACCAGCUCACUCUAUCUGUUACACCGAUGCCACUCCCGAUGCGGACUGCGGUUGUGCUUCUUUUCGUUGUUAAAUAUAAUCUUGAUGUCUUGUGUGUCUGCAUGUUUACUUUCGUAUUUGCAUGUAGUAGUGUGUCUGUGCAGAGGUACGUGAGGCGUACAACUGAUGGGUUCAGUUUGAAGAGCAUGCAUGGUGAGACUCCAACGUGCAGUGAGAAGCUGCUGCAUGCAAAGAUCUGAAACUAACGAGCUGUACAAAUUAUCUAGGAAGUUGUUAUGCAUGCGUGUGUUAGUGGCAUAAGAAUAGGUGAUGGAUUAGUUGGUUAGUGGAGCAGGUCGUGUGCACAAAGAGCCGGGCACGUUGUGGCCUGGCAGCGUGUGCGAGCUAGCUACUUAAAGCGUUGUAAUUAAGUUCGUCUGGUUAAGAAAUACAGAGAGAAAAAGCCGUGAGCUGUGCGAGAGCACGGCAUCAAAUAUCCUGUGUUCUUGUGUGUGUUGUGUGAAACAACCAAGAGAGAAGAGGUGAGCUCAGAGAGUCGGCUCCAACAUUCGUGUCUGUGAAUCCGUGAUGCCGUAGCCAGCAUCUCUCUACAUCUGGAUGUAGCGGAGCACAGCGAGCACCGGAGCGGCCACUCGAUUGACGGGGCCACCUCCCAAGGCUCCUCGGCCAUCACCUUCCCCAUGGCCGCCCUCGCGCGACUCCAUGCCGGCCGUUCAGCUCAGCAGUCCUCUCGAGGAGAGUACACUAUCGACAAUGGUAGCAUGCUUAUGCCACGAAGGGACGCCAUAGUCAUGCACAGAGUGGUCGGCGUGUUUCUGUGGAUACAACGGUUACGAAUCUGCAGGCUGGCGCCCACAAAGCCUGGCUGCUAUUUAUGACUGUCGGUGUAGCCUUCGAAUUUCACAGCAAGGUCGUAUGUGAUUAUUAAUACUGUAGCAGACCGUACAUGUACACUCUCAUAUAAAUGGACCGUGGAAUUGGAUUAUGGUUGUUGGCAUUACUUCAACUAUUUUAUGCAGUCCUUCAUUGAUUCUAGGAACUGAAUAACAUUUUUGUGAGGAAUCGAUGAAUAGCAAUUUGAUAAGUAUUGUGAGUGUGUAAGCAACGCAUUCACAACUCCAAAGCAGCUGAGCCGCAGCUCACAAACUCUUGUUUCAUAAAAGAUUAGAGUGAAAGACUUUGGCGAAUGAUUAUUUCAGCAAAACCUGAUUAACUGACUAACUUAAGAGUAUUUUAAAAGUAUUUUGGAUAAGCAUUCUGGUUUGCACUCUGCAAUUCAAAGAUGAGCACCACUGAAUUUCAAGAAAGAUAUGAUAAAGGGUCU